Molecule: ribosomal RNA, 250 nt
Filed under: uncultured bacterium
Lineage: Bacteria
Description: partial 16S ribosomal RNA
Rfam family: Bacterial small subunit ribosomal RNA
Source: RNAcentral
UACGAAGGUCCCAAGCGUUGUUCGGAAUCACUGGGCGUAAAGGGAGCGUAGGCGGCGUGGUAAGUCAGAUGUGAAAUCCCGGGGCUCAACCCCGGAACUGCAUCCGAUACUGCCAUGCUUGAGGGUUGGAGAGGUAGCUGGAAUUAUCGGUGUAGCAGUGAAAUGCGUGGAUAUCGAUAGGAACACUCGUGGCGAAGGCGAGCUACUGGACAACAUCUGACGCUGAGGCUCGAAGGCUAGGGGAGCAAAA